This 245-nucleotide ribosomal RNA is filed under the name uncultured Corynebacterium sp. Its description in RNAcentral is "partial 16S ribosomal RNA". It matches the Rfam family "Bacterial small subunit ribosomal RNA", at positions 796 to 1041 of the family's 1533-position model. Lineage: Bacteria; Bacillati; Actinomycetota; Actinomycetes; Mycobacteriales; Corynebacteriaceae. The record is from RNAcentral.
CAUGCCGUAAACGGUGGGCGCUAGGUGUAGGGGUCUUCCACGACUUCUGUGCCGCAGCUAACGCAUUAAGCGCCCCGCCUGGGGAGUACGGCCGCAAGGCUAAAACUCAAAGGAAUUGACGGGGGCCCGCACAAGCGGCGGAGCAUGUGGAUUAAUUCGAUGCAACGCGAAGAACCUUACCUGGGCUUGACAUGGACCGGAUCGGCGUAGAGAUACGUUUUCCCUUGUGGUCGGUUCACAGGUGG